This 661-nucleotide ribosomal RNA is filed under the name uncultured soil bacterium. RNAcentral's name for it is "bacterial SSU rRNA". It matches the Rfam family "Bacterial small subunit ribosomal RNA", at positions 8 to 672 of the family's 1533-position model. The record is from RNAcentral.
AGAGUUUGAUCCUGGCUCAGGACGAACGCUGGCGGCGUGCUUAACACAUGCAAGUCGAACGGAAAGGUCUCUUCGGAGACACUCGAGUGGCAAACGGGUGAGUAACACGUGGGUGAUCUGCCCUGCACUUCGGGAUAAGCCUGGGAAACUGGGUCUAAUACCGGAUAGGACCAAGAGAUGCAUGUCUUUUGGUGGAAAGCUUUUGCGGUGUGGGAUGGGCCCGCGGCCUAUCAGCUUGUUGGUGGGGUCACGGCCUACCAAGGCUCCGACGGGUAGCCGGCCUGAGAGGGUGUCCGGCCACACUGGGACUGAGAUACGGCCCAGACUCCUACGGGAGGCAGCAGUGGGGAAUAUUGCACAAUGGGCGCAAGCCUGAUGCAGCGACGCCGCGUGGGGGAUGACGGCCUUCGGGUCGUAAACCUCUUUCACCAUCGACGAAGGUCCGGGUUUUCUCGGAUUGACGGUAGGUGGAGAAGAAGCACCGGCCAACUACGUGCCAGCAGCCGCGGUAAUACGUAGGGUGCGAGCGUUGUCCGGAAUUACUGGGCGUAAAGAGCUCGUAGGUGGUUUGUCGCGUUGUUCGUGAAAACUCACGGCUUAACUGUGAGCGUGCGGGCGAUACGGGCAGACUGGAGUACUGCAGGGGAGACUGGAAUUCCUG